Molecule: ribosomal RNA, 588 nt
Filed under: Geotrichum pseudocandidum
Lineage: Eukaryota; Fungi; Ascomycota; Dipodascomycetes; Dipodascales; Dipodascaceae
Description: Galactomyces pseudocandidus partial large subunit ribosomal RNA
Rfam family: Eukaryotic large subunit ribosomal RNA
Source: RNAcentral
GCAUAUCAAUAAGCGGAGGAAAAGAAACCAACAGGGAUUGCCUUAGUAACGGCGAGUGAAGCGGCAAAAGCUCAAAUUUGAAAUCGGCCAUCAGGUCGAGUUGUAAUUUGUAGAUUGUACUUUGAGAGCGGAUUAAAGUCUGUUGGAACACAGCGCCUUAGAGGGUGACAGCCCCGUAAAAUCUAUUCUCAUUGUAAGGUACUUUCGAAGAGUCGAGUUGUUUGGGAAUGCAGCUCUAAGUGGGAGGUAAAUUCCUUCUAAAGCUAAAUAUUGACGAGAGACCGAUAGCGAACAAGUACUGUGAAGGAAAGAUGAAAAGCACUUUGAAAAGAGAGUGAAAAAGUACGUGAAAUUGUUAAAAGGGAAGGGUAUUGAAUCAGACGUGGUGCUGUUGUUCAACUUUGUUUCGGCAUGGUGUACUCAGCAGUACUAGGCCAAGGUGGGGUGUUUGGGAGUGAAAAAGGAAUAGGAACGUAGCUCUUCGGAGUGUUAUAACCUUAUUUUCAUAGCUCCUCAGGCGCCUCAGGACUGCGCUCGGCAAGGACUUUGGCAUAAUGAUUCUAUACCGCCCGUCUUGAAACACGGACC